UAAACUACGAUUAGAUACCCUAUUAUUCCAGAUGUUAAGUAGAAACCAGAGUAGUAAUAGUUAUGUUCUUGAAACUCAAAGAAUUUGGCGGUGUUUUAGUCCGCUCAGAGGAACCUGUCCCAUGAUCGAUAAUCCACGUUAGACUUAACUUAGGGUUAUUUAGCUUGUAUACCGCCGUCGAAAGAGGAAUUCAGAAGAAUCCCCUCUAAUCCCUGCAGUAAGGUAGAUGUCAGGUCAAGGUGCAGCUGAUCCUUAAGGGGAGAUGGGUUACAAUAAGGGUACUUAAACGGAAGUUCGCAGGGAGAAGUGAACUAGAAGGUGGAUUUGAAUGUAAUUGGGUUUUAAUUAAAACCCAUGAAAGAGGCUCUAAAACAAGCAC
RNAcentral lists this ribosomal RNA (379 nucleotides) under Stenonema sp. BYU IGCEP026. Its description in RNAcentral is "partial 12S ribosomal RNA". The record is from RNAcentral. Lineage: Eukaryota; Metazoa; Arthropoda; Insecta; Ephemeroptera; Heptageniidae.